CAGCAGGCGCGAAAACUUUACAAUGCGGGAAACCGUGAUAAGGGGACACCGAGUGCCAGCAUCAUAUGCUGGCUGUCCAGGUGUGUAAAAUACACCUGUUAGCAAGGGCCGGGCAAGACCGGUGCCAGCCGCCGCGGUAACACCGGCGGCCCGAGUGGUGAUCGUGAUUAUUGGGUCUAAAGGGUCCGUAGCCGGUUUGGUCAGUCCUCCGGGAAAUCUGACGGCUCAACCGUUAGGCUUUCGGGGGAUACUGCCAGGCUUGGAACCGGGAGAGGUAAGAGGUACUACAGGGGUAGGAGUGAAAUCUUGUAAUCCCUGUGAGACCACCUGUGGCGAAGGCGUCUUACCAGAACGGGUUCGACGGUGAGGGACGAAAGCUGGGGGCACGAACCGGAUUAGAUACCCGGGUAGUCCCAGCCGUAAACGAUGCUCGCUAGGUGUCAGGCAUGGCGCGACCGUGUCUGGUGCCGCAGGGAAGCCGUGAAGCGAGCCACCUGGGAAGUACGGCCGCAAGGCUGAAACUUAAAGGAAUUGGCGGGGGAGCACAAGGGCGAAUGC
Molecule: ribosomal RNA, 558 nt
Filed under: uncultured archaeon
Lineage: Archaea
Description: bacterial SSU rRNA
Rfam family: Archaeal small subunit ribosomal RNA
Source: RNAcentral